AUUUAAAUAGCUUAAUUAAAGAGAGCAUUAUAUUGAAGAUAUAAAGGUAAAAUAAUUUUUUUUAAAUA
Molecule: transfer RNA, 68 nt
Filed under: Sitobion avenae (English grain aphid)
Lineage: Eukaryota; Metazoa; Arthropoda; Insecta; Hemiptera; Aphididae
Description: tRNA-Phe
Source: RNAcentral